UACGUAGGGCGCAAGCGUUGUCCGGAAUUAUUGGGCGUAAAGAGCUCGUAGGCGGUUUGUCGCGUCUGCUGUGAAAACCUAAGGCUCAACCUUGGGCUUGCAGUGGGUACGGGGCAGACUAGAGUGCGGUAGGGGUGACUGGAAUUCCUGGUGAUAGCGGUGAAAUGCGGCAGAUAUCAGGGAGGAACACCGGUGGGCGAAGGCGGGUCUCUGG
Molecule: ribosomal RNA, 214 nt
Filed under: uncultured bacterium
Lineage: Bacteria
Description: partial 16S ribosomal RNA
Rfam family: Bacterial small subunit ribosomal RNA
Source: RNAcentral